Long non-coding RNA from Empidonax traillii (willow flycatcher), 2290 nucleotides. RefSeq lists it as uncharacterized. The transcript has 2 exons. The record is from RefSeq and is a predicted model, not a curated record. Lineage: Eukaryota; Metazoa; Chordata; Aves; Passeriformes; Tyrannidae.
CCAUGCAGCAUUCCUUAUGUCUUCUCUGGUCUGAAGGUCUUUGUAAGCUGGGGAGGGAAGACAAGCACGAAGCUUAGAGGUAACUCCUUUUUCCUUCUGCACAAGAAUAGCUCCUCUAAAAAGUGUUCUAGGGAAUAAUUAGGAGGCUGCAAACACUGGGAAGGAAAGGUCAGUUGCUCUCCAUGAGAAGGAAAAGCUCCCAAACCAAGGCAAACAGAAGGAACUGGGGAAGAGAGAGAAUGUCUUGGACACAGCUCAAGAGCCCUCAAUCACCAAAAACUGUGCAGAAGGACAAGAAAUCUGAUAUAUUUAACUGAUUCUCUACAAUGUCUGACGGGGGGGACCCCAAGCUCAAAUGUUCUUUUCUUCCAUCUCAUAAAAUCACUUCCUUCAAUUUACCUUUCUUUGAUAGCCCCACACCAGCCACUGUGGGGAAAUCUAAUUCCAACUCAACCUUCUCCUGAAACACCAAAAUAUUUCUCUGACAAACUAAAAAUGUGGUAUUUAUACCACAUAUAUUUAUUUAUAAGCUGGAAAUGUAAACCUUUUCCCGCCUCAGAUGCCAACUUUUCACCCUUAAUUACUGAUCAGGAGAGCCAGAAGACAGCUAUCAACCUCCAGCUCAAAGCUGUCUUCCACAUAUCAAAGGUUUGUGACAAUCACUCAAAUUGAAAAGAAAAAAAAAAUAGGGAAGAAAAAUCUCAGUUUCCUUUGGGAAGAAUAUCCUCAUGGACACGCCUGUCUGCAUUGCACAAAAAUAGUUCACACUAGCGGUGUUUUACAACAAUCAACCUUUUAAUCCCAGUGUCUGAAAAUAACCCAGUGAACUGGUUCACCCCGUGGAAGCAGGAUGGAGGAAAGGAAAAGUGUUCCACAGCAGAGAAACAACCACCAGAGAAGAACAACUGCAGCUGAGAUGACCUUCAGCGUUAAAGGAGGAGUCUGUAAACACCUUAUUGGUUAUUUAUCGAAAAUGGUGCCUUCCCUGGCCCUGGGCAAACACACAAACAUGAGGCUGUGCUGAAAGCCAAGCAGCUAUUCCUGAGUGCAGGCAUUUGAAGGGCAUUCCAUGAUAAGGCUGUUGCUGGAGUGGAGCUAUCUCUGAUCUCAGCCGGAGCAGGCGAGGCGCAGGUGACUGCAGUUGUGUUGUCACAUCAAGUGCCACAGCAACACAAGCUGUCCCAGAGGAGUGGGGGGGAAACCCACCUAAUAAAUCUGAGUGGUUUUAAAAAGCUCCCUCAAAGUAAGCACUAAAUGCUCAGUGGACACCAGAGACAGAACUCAAUCCCAGUCCUGCAACACUCAAUUUUCAGCUCAGACCUCUAAACCAUCAUCAUUUCCUCACCUUUAUUAAAGAGAAUUAGCAGACUAAUAAUCCUCUUCUAUGAGGAUUAUUGUUUGCAGCAAACUUGAAGAGAUAAAUAAUCACAAUGCUUUUCCUGUGAACCAGUUUUAUCCUCAGUAAGAGUAAGCUGGAGUUACAGGGAUAACACUAAAAAGCAAAAAGCAAAUUCCUUUGCUAUUAGGAGAAUCUCAUGACUUGAAUGUUAAACUGCACCUAAAACUGGAGGGAUAGUUAAUUGUAAUACAAUGAAAUGAGUAAUACUUUACAUUUAUGUAAAAUCUUUCACCCAGCAACUGUAAAGUUCCUCAUGAGCAUUGACUAACAAAUCACAACUAUCCACCUAAAUAUAUACCUUAGUUAGAAUAAAGGCAGGAGCUAAGUUUAUUAAAGCAGAUAUUCACUGCACCCACCCUGAGAUGCAAGGGCCUGAUUUUUAAUCAAUAUCCUCAGAGAAGCCCUAAAAUACCCUUGCCAUUCCAGACACUCAGAAAUCAAGAAGCCCUGAUUACUGGUUCACUUGUGUGGGCAGAAUAUACCCAAAAUUAGCUCUGGAAGAGAAGGGACUGAAUUCAUGUCUUUGGACUGUCAGUUGUGAGCAUCAGCUUGACUCUGGUGGUUCUUAUCCUACAAAUAUUAACUAUGAGCUUAGCUUCUUUCAUUGCUACAAAGAUUGGGCUGUGAACAGAAAAGGAUAACACUGAAUAGUUUGCUUAGAUUAGAUUAAAAAUGUCAGUGGAAACACUUCUAUCCCACUUAGCUUCUGCUUCAGCACAAAAUAUAACCUGGGUGGGAGAUAUCGGGUCAAGUAUUUACAUUUUGUAGUAACCCAUAUCUGCCUGGAGGAGAAAGAAAACAACCUGUCCUCAGUUUGGCAGUUCUUGAUCUAAACAAAGUUUAUUUGAAACUGAAAUAACCCCAAAACAUCCACAUAAAACCUCACAACAU